Sander lucioperca (pikeperch) is the source of this 106-nucleotide long non-coding RNA. RefSeq lists it as uncharacterized. NCBI's taxonomy places the organism in Eukaryota, Metazoa, Chordata, Actinopteri, Perciformes, Percidae. The record is from RefSeq and is a predicted model, not a curated record. The transcript is spliced from 3 exons.
UGGCGGGUUUUGUGUGUCUUUGGACAGAGCCAGGCUGGCUGUUUCCCCCAGUUUCCAGUUUUUGUGCUAAGCUAGGCUAAUCAGCUGCUAGCUGUAGCCUUAUAUU